AGUAUUUGGUCGUAGACCCGAAACCAGGUGAUCUACCCUUGGUCAGGUUGAAGUUCAGGUAACACUGAAUGGAGGACCGAACCGACUUACGUUGAAAAGUGAGCGGAUGAACUGAGGGUAGCGGAGAAAUUCCAAUCGAACCUGGAGAUAGCUGGUUCUCUCCGAAAUAGCUUUAGGGCUAGCCUCAAGUGAUGAUUAUUGGAGGUAGAGCACUGUUUGGACGAGGGGCCCCUCUCGGGUUACCGAAUUCAGACAAACUCCGAAUGCCAAUUAAUUUAACUUGGGAGUCAGAACAUGGGUGAUAAGGUCCGUGUUCGAAAGGGAAACAGCCCAGACCACCAGCUAAGGUCCCAAAAUAUAUGUUAAGUGGAAAAGGAUGUGGCGUUGCCCAGACAACUAGGAUGUUGGCUUAGAAGCAGCCAUCAUUUAAAGAGUGCGUAAUAGCUCACUAGUCGAGUGACACUGCGCCGAAAAUGUACCGGGGCUAAACAUAUUACCGAAGCUGUGGAUUGUCCUUUGGACAAUGGUAGGAGAGCGUUCUAAGGGCGUUGAAGCAUGAUCGUAAGGACAUGUGGAGCGCUUAGAAGUGAGAAUGCCGGUGUGAGUAGCGAAAGACGGGUGAGAAUCCCGUCCACCGAUUGACUAAGGUUUCCAGAGGAAGGCUCGUCCGCUCUGGGUUAGUCGGGUCCUAAGCUGAGGCCGACAGGCGUAGGCGAUGGAUAACAGGUUGAUAUUCCUGUACCACCUAUAAUCGUUUUAAUCGAUGGGGGGACGCAGUAGGAUAGGCGAAGCGUGCGAUUGGAUUGCACGUCUAAGCAGUAAGGCUGAGUAUUAGGCAAAUCCGGUACUCGUUAAGGCUGAGCUGUGAUGGGGAGAAGACAUUGUGUCUUCGAGUCGUUGAUUUCACACUGCCGAGAAAAGCCUCUAGAUAGAAAAUAGGUGCCCGUACCGCAAACCGACACAGGUAGUCAAGAUGAGAAUUCUAAGGUGAGCGAGCGAACUCUCGUUAAGGAACUCGGCAAAAUGACCCCGUAACUUCGGGAGAAGGGGUGCUCUUUAGGGUUAACGCCCAGAAGAGCCGCAGUGAAUAGGCCCAAGCGACUGUUUAUCAAAAACACAGGUCUCUGCUAAACCGUAAGGUGAUGUAUAGGGGCUGACGCCUGCCCGGUGCUGGAAGGUUAAGAGGAGUGGUUAGCUUCUGCGAAGCUACGAAUCGAAGCCCCAGUAAACGGCGGCCGUAACUAUAACGGUCCUAAGGUAGCGAAAUUCCUUGUCGGGUAAGUUCCGACCCGCACGAAAGGCGUAACGAUUUGGGCACUGUCUCAACGAGAGACUCGGUGAAAUCAUAGUACCUGUGAAGAUGCAGGUUACCCGCGACAGGACGGAAAGACCCCGUGGAGCUUUACUGUAGCCUGAUAUUGAAAUUCGGCACAGCUUGUACAGGAUAGGUAGGAGCCUUUGAAACGUGAGCGCUAGCUUACGUGGAGGCGCUGGUGGGAUACUACCCUAGCUGUGUUGGCUUUCUAACCCGCACCACUUAUCGUGGUGGGAGACAGUGUCAGGCGGGCAGUUUGACUGGGGCGGUCGCCUCCUAAAAGGUAACGGAGGCGCUCAAAGGUUCCCUCAGAAUGGUUGGAAAUCAUUCAUAGAGUGUAAAGGCAUAAGGGAGCUUGACUGCGAGACCUACAAGUCGAGCAGGGUCGAAAGACGGACUUAGUGAUCCGGUGGUUCCGCAUGGAAGGGCCAUCGCUCAACGGAUAAAAGCUACCCCGGGGAUAACAGGCUUAUCUCCCCCAAGAGUUCACAUCGACGGGGAGGUUUGGCACCUCGAUGUCGGCUCAUCGCAUCCUGGGGCUGUAGUCGGUCCCAAGGGUUGGGCUGUUCGCCCAUUAAAGCGGUACGCGAGCUGGGUUCAGAACGUCGUGAGACAGUUCGGUCCCUAUCCGUCGUGGGCGUAGGAAAUUUGAGAGGAGCUGUCCUUAGUACGAGAGGACCGGGAUGGACAUACCUCUGGUGUACCAGUUGUCGUGCCAACGGCAUAGCUGGGUAGCUAUGUGUGGACGGGAUAAGUGCUGAAAGCAUCUAAGCAUGAAGCCCCCCUCAAGAUGAGAUUUCCCAACUUCGGUUAUAAGAUCCCUCAAAGAUGAUGAGGUUAAUAGGUUCGAGGUGGAAGCAUGGUGACAUGUGGAGCUGACGAAUACUAAUCGAUCGAAGACUUAAUCA
This 2223-nucleotide ribosomal RNA is filed under the name Staphylococcus aureus subsp. aureus CIGC93. RNAcentral's name for it is "bacterial LSU rRNA". It matches the Rfam family "Bacterial large subunit ribosomal RNA", at positions 698 to 2925 of the family's 2925-position model. Lineage: Bacteria; Bacillati; Bacillota; Bacilli; Caryophanales; Staphylococcaceae. The record is from RNAcentral.